UUAGCCCUAAACAUAGAUAAUUAUGUAAACAAAAUUAUUCGCCAGAGUACUACUAGCAACAGCUUAAAACUCAAAGGACUUGGCGGUGCUUCAUAUCCUUCUAGAGGAGCCUGUUCUGUAAUCGAUAAACCCCGAUAAACCUCACCAAUUCUUGCUAAUACAGUCUAUAUACCGCCAUCUUCAGCAAACCCUAUAAAGGAACAAAAGUAAGCACAAUCAUAAUACAUAAAAAAGUUAGGUCAAGGUGUAACCUAUGAAAUGGGAAGAAAUGGGCUACAUUUUCUUAAACUAAGAAAAUUAACACACGAAAACCAUUAUGAAAUUAAUAGUUAAAGGAGGAUUUAGCAGUAAACUGAGAAUAGAGUGCUUAGUUGAAUCAGGCCAUGAAGCACGC
This 394-nucleotide ribosomal RNA is filed under the name Tragelaphus scriptus (bushbuck). RNAcentral's name for it is "partial 12S ribosomal RNA". It matches the Rfam family "Bacterial small subunit ribosomal RNA", at positions 796 to 1384 of the family's 1533-position model. Lineage: Eukaryota; Metazoa; Chordata; Mammalia; Artiodactyla; Bovidae. The record is from RNAcentral.